This 2008-nucleotide long non-coding RNA is filed under the name Sarcophilus harrisii (Tasmanian devil). RNAcentral describes it as "lncRNA (ENSSHAG00000030952.1)". The record is from RNAcentral. Lineage: Eukaryota; Metazoa; Chordata; Mammalia; Dasyuromorphia; Dasyuridae.
ACUCACUAUUAUUUAUUUUUUUUGUAAUGAAAGCUUAUUUAUUUUUACAUACAUUUCAAAAUGGUACUAUUUGGGGGUCAUAAGUUGAAAGGCAGAAUGUUCUGUAUCUUUAAUAUAAAUAUAACAACUCAUUGGGAAAUGAUUAAUCAAAUUAUACUGUGAAACAAAUAAGAGUGAAGAUACUUAUGGGGAAACAGGCAAUGUAAUUCUAUGAAUACAUAUGAAAAGAGAAAAGAGUUAUAAAAGUAUACAGAAUGUAGUUAGAAUGAUACCAAACCUCCAAGAUUUCCACAGUUUAGGGGGAAAGAAAAAAAAGAUCAUUUACUACUCUUCUCCUCUGAGUGACUUCAAAUAGAAAGUGGUUUAUCAUAUACUCCAAAUUAAACUCUAAUAGGAAAAACAAUGCUUUGUGUGUAGUUUGACAUUUAUCAUGGGUAAUUAAAAUAACACAGAAAAUGAUUGAGACAUUAUUGCACACAUACAUAUCAACAAGCAUUCAGCCCUUUUACAAAGUAGAAACAGGCUGUGUAUAACUAUAUCUAUUGCUUUCACAAGCAGUACUAAGUAUAUAUAUAUAUAUAUAUAUUUUUCCUGAGAAUCCAAGCACAAUACCAUUUUUUUUGUUUCUCAGUUCAUAUAUUAACAGUAAGAAGCAUUUAUUUUCUGAAAAAAAAACGAUGUCUUUUAAAUGGCAAAAUUUAUUCAAGAAAAACUAUUUUCAAGGAUUUUCAUAAUUUUUUGCAAUUAAGGUUAUGGAUGAUUGCUCUGUAUAGUUUUGCAUUUUAAAAAAUCAUGAAUUUCACCCACAUAUAAUUACAAAUCCUCAAACACUUAACCCCAUUGAAAACUAGCCAUUCAUUUGGGAAAAAACCCCCACUAUUUUUACACAAAUAAAACUAUUAAAAAUCCAUGCAUCUUUUUUUUCUACAUGAAAGAUAUACCCUUGUCUAUCUUAUAUUGUCCUUUCAAAGGUGAAACAGCAUUCAGUUUACUGUGAAAUAUUUUCAAUACAUUUUACAUGAGAAUGUUCAGUCUUUGACAAUCAUAUGAAGAAUUUUAAAAAUUGAAAUGCAAUGCCUAAAAUAUAAAAGGAGUGCUGUGAAGUUAAGGUUGCAUUUAAACAUUCAAUGCAUGUGGGAAAAUAAAGCAUCUCAUUUCACUUCCCUGAUUUGUAAAUGCCUGAAUCAGGGCUAGAAUCCAUUAUAAAUGUCAUUAAGUUCUAGCAGUGUAACCCCAUGGAACACAGGUCUAGCUUUGCUUUAGGAAGUAAUAUUAACGAAAGUAUUGGGGACUGGAGGUAGAUCAUGUUUCCUGUCCCAAAACUAUGUUAGCCUAGUUCUUGAAGCCCUGGAUCUUCCCUAGUACAUAAAGAUGUUUUGGUGGGUUUUUUUUAUUAUUGUCUUCUAAAUAAGUAUGAAAGAUAAAAUAUUUCCACCACAGCAAGUACAUCUAAACUUUUUGUCUUAAAUGAAAUUUCUUGAGGGCUGAAUUAACAUAAGUUAUUUUCUAACUUAAGUAGUCAUCUAAACUUUUGGUUAUCUUAUUGAUUGGUUAAUAUCUGAAAAAUAGAUUUUGUACAUCAUAAUAAACUAAUAAAUAUUUAGUACACUGAAAAAAUAUAUAUCCAAUUAACUAAUUUUGUUAGAUCUCUGAAUUCUCCAAUGAUAUUUUUUUUCUCAGACAUGCUAUGGUACUUUUUGAGAUACUAAUAUGUUCCCAAUUUAAAUAUGAAAAUAAAGGAUUAAUAUUCUGGUUCUUGAAUUAGCAUUUAAUGUAAAAAUAUAAUUGUUUUCCUUUUUCUGUACAUGAAACCUGAAGUAUACUCUUCUUUAUGAGAAAAGCAAAUUUUUCUUCUACAAUACACUGGUGUUAUCAAUGCCCCUAGAAGAAACAGGCCUCUACCAAUGUGGGGGAUGGAGGAACUCUAUCAAGAGUACAUCAACAUCUAUUUUUUAAAAUAAAGAACAAGAAAAGGAACACAUCAUGUUUCAGUCUUUUCUUCCCCAAU